GGGCUAGUGCUGGAAUUGGUAGACAGGCAAGUCUCAAAAACUUGUGGUCCCUAAAGGACCGUGUGGGUUCGAUUCCCACCUCGCCCA
Molecule: transfer RNA, 87 nt
Filed under: Candidatus Curtissbacteria bacterium RBG_16_39_7
Lineage: Bacteria; Candidatus Curtissiibacteriota
Description: tRNA-Leu
Rfam family: tRNA
About the family: Transfer RNA (tRNA) molecules are approximately 80 nucleotides in length. Their secondary structure includes four short double-helical elements and three loops (D, anti-codon, and T loops).
Source: RNAcentral